RNAcentral lists this ribosomal RNA (424 nucleotides) under uncultured prokaryote. RNAcentral describes it as "bacterial SSU rRNA". It matches the Rfam family "Bacterial small subunit ribosomal RNA", at positions 355 to 776 of the family's 1533-position model. RNAcentral also lists the same sequence under 1 other name. The record is from RNAcentral.
UGAGGAAUAUUGGUCAAUGGGCGGAAGCCUGAACCAGCCAUCCCGCGUGAAGGAAGAAUGCGCUAUGCGUUGUAAACUUCUUUUCCAGGAGAAGAAACUCAUCUACGAGUAGAUGAUUGCCGGUACCCUGGGAAUAAGCAUCGGCUAACUCCGUGCCAGCAGCCGCGGUAAUACGGAGGAUGCGUGCGUUAUCCGGAUUCAUUGGGUUUAAAGGGUGCGUAGGCGGACUAUUAAGUCAGUGGUGAAAUCCUGCAGCUUAACUGCAGAACUGCCAUUGAUACUGAUAGCCUUGAGUUUGGUUAAGGUAGGCGGAAUGUGUAAUGUAGCGGUGAAAUGCUUAGAUAUUACACAGAACACCAAUUGCGUAGGCAGCUUACUGAGCCGACACUGACGCUGAGGCACGAAAGCGUGGGGAUCGAACAGG